Molecule: ribosomal RNA, 250 nt
Filed under: uncultured bacterium
Lineage: Bacteria
Description: partial 16S ribosomal RNA
Rfam family: Bacterial small subunit ribosomal RNA
Source: RNAcentral
UACGUAGGUGGCGAGCGUUAUCCGGAUUUACUGGGCGUAAAGUGAGCGCAGACGGUUCUUCAAGUCAGAUGUUAAAUCUCUCAGCCUAACUGGGUGGUCGCAUUUGAUACUGCUGAACUAGAGGACAAUAGGGGGAGGUAGAAUUCCCGGUGUAGUGGUGGAAUGCGUAGAUAUCGGGAGGAAUACCAGUGGCGAAGGCGGCCUCCUAGGUUGUUUCUGACGUUCAUGCUCGAAGGUGUGGGGAGCAAAC